This 727-nucleotide ribosomal RNA is filed under the name Streptomyces sp. RNAcentral describes it as "bacterial SSU rRNA". It matches the Rfam family "Bacterial small subunit ribosomal RNA", at positions 137 to 876 of the family's 1533-position model. Lineage: Bacteria; Bacillati; Actinomycetota; Actinomycetes; Kitasatosporales; Streptomycetaceae. The record is from RNAcentral.
UCUGGGACAAGCCCUGGAAACGGGGUCUAAUACCGGAUAACACCGGCUUCCGCAUGGGAGCUGGUUAAAAGCUCCGGCGGUGAAGGAUGAGCCCGCGGCCUAUCAGCUUGUUGGUGGGGUAAUGGCCUACCAAGGCGACGACGGGUAGCCGGCCUGAGAGGGCGACCGGCCACACUGGGACUGAGACACGGCCCAGACUCCUACGGGAGGCAGCAGUGGGGAAUAUUGCACAAUGGGCGAAAGCCUGAUGCAGCGACGCCGCGUGAGGGAUGACGGCCUUCGGGUUGUAAACCUCUUUCAGCAGGGAAGAAGCGAAAGUGACGGUACCUGCAGAAGAAGCGCCGGCUAACUACGUGCCAGCAGCCGCGGUAAUACGUAGGGCGCAAGCGUUGUCCGGAAUUAUUGGGCGUAAAGAGCUCGUAGGCGGCUUGUCACGUCGGGUGUGAAAGCCCGGGGCUUAACCCCGGGUCUGCAUCCGAUACGGGCAGGCUAGAGUGUGGUAGGGGAGAUCGGAAUUCCUGGUGUAGCGGUGAAAUGCGCAGAUAUCAGGAGGAACACCGGUGGCGAAGGCGGAUCUCUGGGCCAUUACUGACGCUGAGGAGCGAAAGCGUGGGGAGCGAACAGGAUUAGAUACCCUGGUAGUCCACGCCGUAAACGUUGGGAACUAGGUGUUGGCGACAUUCCACGUCGUCGGUGCCGCAGCUAACGCAUUAAGUUCCCCGCCUGG